GUCAUCUCAUUCAAAUCAAGUAAUGCUUUAUCUGUGUGUCAGGAAGUCGGUGGUUGCUGCGAACCGAUCAGGGUAAAUGUCGUGAAAUACUGAAUGAAGACUUCGGCUAAUUAACAGGACCGUUAUCCCCUGUAAGAGUGGCGUGUUGUCUUAAAUUGGCGCGCUAACUGGGUGGUACCGCGGUUUCCAAUCGUCCCUAUU
RNAcentral lists this non-coding RNA (201 nucleotides) under Latilactobacillus sakei. The record is from RNAcentral. Lineage: Bacteria; Bacillati; Bacillota; Bacilli; Lactobacillales; Lactobacillaceae.